UUUGGUGGGGGUAAUGGCCUACCCAGGCGACGACGGGUACCCCGCCCUGAGAGGGCGACCGGCCCCCACUGGGACUGAGACACGGCCAGACUCCUACGGGAGGCAGCAGUGGGAAUAUUCCCAAUGGGSGAAAACCUGAUGCAGCGACGCCGCUUAGGGAUGACGGCCUUCGGGUUGUAAACCUCUUUCAGCAGGACGAAGCGAGAGUGACGGUACCUGCAGAAGAAGCCCGGCCAACUACGUGCCAGCAGCCGCGGUAAUACGUAGGGUGCGAGCGUUGUCCGGAAUUACUGGGCGGAAAGAGCUCGUAGGCGGUUUGUCGCGUCGUCCGUGAAAACUUGGGGCUCAACCCCAAGCUUGCGGGCGAUACGGGCAGACUUGAGUACUGCAGGGGAGACUGGAAUUCCUGGUGUAGCGGUGAAAUGCGCAGAUAUCAGGAGGAACACCGGUGGCGAAGGCGGGUCUCUGGGCAGUAACUGACGCUGAGGAGCGAAAGCGUGGGUAGCGAACAGGAUUAGAUACCCUGGUAGUCCACGCCGUAAACGGUGGGCAAAUAGGUGUGGGUUUCCUUCCACGGGAUCCGU
This 584-nucleotide ribosomal RNA is filed under the name Rhodococcus (subgen. Prescottella) equi. RNAcentral's name for it is "Prescottella equi bacterial SSU rRNA". It matches the Rfam family "Bacterial small subunit ribosomal RNA", at positions 248 to 844 of the family's 1533-position model. The record is from RNAcentral. Lineage: Bacteria; Bacillati; Actinomycetota; Actinomycetes; Mycobacteriales; Nocardiaceae.